Molecule: long non-coding RNA, 3493 nt
Organism: Patella vulgata (common limpet)
Lineage: Eukaryota; Metazoa; Mollusca; Gastropoda; Patellidae
Exons: 6
Source: RefSeq, a predicted model, not a curated record
CAGGCAGAUCAGAUAUAAUCAAUUAUAUUUCAAUGUUUUAUAUGUUGAUAUGGCAUUACACCGUGGCUAAAAAGAGCAACACAGGUGUAUAAAUAAAAGGAGUUAAAGGCAAACGUUAACUCACAGUUAGACUGGGAGGUCGAAGGACAAACAAAGUCAAUGCACGGUAAUAUCGGUAAACACCGAAAUUAUUAUAAAGAAGCUUAAUUAGGCUCCCCAACAGGCACAGGUUAAACAACCUACUAUAAUAUAAUUACUCCCUUACCAGAGAAGGUGUGUUGCAGAUCACCUGCGCCAUGAUCAAUAUCUAGGCCUAUAUAGGCUAACAAUUAAAAAACACGUCUAAACACAAUGAGUUGCGAAGGCCAACUAACUGAAACGCUUCGUACAGCGCGCCAUAUUACGUCACUAAAUUUUGACGUCAUAUUACCCCCAACGUUGUAUCACGUGACCAACAGUCUUCGAUAGUCAAUUUGACAGACUUGCUCGUUGGUGUUCUGAUCGACAAUGCGGUGGGACUGAAAGGAUAAAUAUAUUUAUUUAUGCGCAGAUAUUAAUACUCGGGUUUGCUACCAUAUCCAGUCGGCUCCUUGGUUCACGGCACUCAAUUUAUACGGAGCUAUGGGUGAUUUUCGGCUACAUGCAGCCGGUGAAGAAAACGGCGUGGAACAAAAUGGUGCAGUCCAUUUGUGACGCGGGGAGAACAGGUUCGUAAAGGUAAACAAACAAGUGAUCCCAUUAACAAAGAAAAGUCAUGUUGAUACGAAUACUUUAUAACAGAAUAACAUGGGUAUGUUCCCAGCAAAACAAUAAAUAAUCUAUUAGUAUAGCGAAUCAAUAUACAUAUAAUUUAGGUGUGUUCCCGGACCGUAACACAGCCCCCCUCCCAAUCCGGGUUUGGUCCCCAAACAGGUAGGCAGUUUGGUCAAUGUUACUCAUCCUUAAGUAUGGCUAAUCUGUCACUGGCUAUUUGAACUAGUGUUGGCAGAAUAUAAAAUUCACUUUCGAUGAUGAUCGAGCUCCUCCAAGAACCGAGGUUCCUUGGGGAGGGUUUGAGGCUUCGAAACACCCCCACGGCGCAAAUGGUUUAGUACAUGUCGGAAGUGCGCUGGGUCCCUAUCAAUAAAAUAUGUGCUGGGAUUGGAGGCAAUUGGUUCAACCCUGAAAAGGAAGGUGAAAAAACUGUCAGGGACAUUUAGCAGCGUCUCCUGUGUGGUGUCAUACUUGGUGCCCCCAAUGUUUAAUACAAUCCGGUUCAAUUGCAUAAGCGUGGCUUUCGUUACGACUGGACAAGGGUGUGGCAUCGGUUCCUCCUCAGAUGGCAGGUUUGGUACUGUUUGUAGAAAGAAUUCCACGAACCCCACGUCUUCAUCAACAGUCGAAACGCCUUCCGCAUACAGAGACAAUGUGUCACUGUUGUCUUGUAACUUCCUGGGGGAGGACUGAAAAAGAUGUACCGGGACUGAUGGUGUUCGGGAGUACGUUUGUGGUAAUGUUCGGCUCUUCUUUUCUGUAUUAGUUGACAUUGGAGGAGGGCUGUCACGCUUCCUCUUUUCUGUAGAAGGGGUGAGUUGCCUCUCCUGCAUUGGUAAGAUUUUCUCAUCAAUGGUCAACAUAAAACGAGACAAGGCGUCCUCAACCACCUGGCCGAACUCUCCAGUUAUACGAUUAAAGGGCUCGUACGGUGCCGAGCCAUCUCCCCCGGUGCAAUCUCUAUGCUUCUGGUGUCGGCGCAUAAAUACCUUCUUGCAGAGUAAGCACCGAAAGCCAAUGCCACUGUGUUGCUCGACCAGAUGUCGCCUCCCAGCCGAUUUUUUGUCAAAAGUGUAGUCCCCGCAUACACGGCAAGUGUAAGUAGUAACCUUAAAUGAAGAAUAAAGUCUCAUACAAAAUCUGAGUAUAUGCAGGUGAGUAUAAACAUACAGGUAAGUAGAAAUUUAUCUAUUAAUAAUCAUUAAUACAUCGGCUUUAUAUACAAACAAUAAAUAAAUUACAGAUAUUAUACUCUGUGCCAUGUUGGGGGGCAGUUCCCUUCAUAUCGUUUUAGUUUGUCAUGAUGAACUAUUUUUGGUUUAGCUCGAGGGGAUUCCUGUAUCCGGUAAAUCACACUAUUAAUUAUCUGCGUGACAAUAUAUGGCCCCUGCCAAUCUCUUUGCAGUUUUCUACUCAAGCCCUUUCUUGGCUUGGGGUUAUGAACCCAUACUGGAGUCCCAACUUCAUAACUAUUAUGAGCUAACUUUUUGUCAUAAUUUCUUUUCAUAUUGGCACCAGCCAUAUUAAGUUGACCACGAGCAAAAUUAUGUAUUCUAUUAAUUUUUUGUUCUAAUUCAUACGCGUAGUUAAAAUCUAAUGAAUAAUUAUCUGUAUUCAUCAUUUCAGGUGUGCCAAAGACUAAAUCAACAGGAAGAGUUAUCUCUCUUCCGUACAUCAUUUUGUUUGGGGUUACUCCAGUUGAUUCAUGAAUGGAUGAACGAUAAGCCAUCAUUAUCAUAGGAAGGAAUAUCAACAUCAUUUAGGAUAUACUCAGAGCCAUUCGAUUGGUCCGGUGGAAAAGAGGUAGAAGGCAUGUUAAUGCUAUCAGUAGUUCCAAUGCCAACCAUUCUGACUGAUGCAGAUGGAAUCGGAUCUCCUUCUUUGUCAGUGGCACCGGCCAGUUUUUGACAGCCUCGAUUUUGGCAGGAUCAGUAGCAAUUCCCUGGGCACUAACAAUGUGCCCUAGAUAGAAUCAUUCAGAUUUGGUGUACUUCUAUCAAGGACUUCCGUGACAUGAUCAGAUUGUACAUUAGAAGUGGACAAUCGCUGCAGAUGUCUUGUUAAGAGCUGCAUAUCUUGUCGCAGACCUUGCACAGCAUCAUUUAAUUUGGUUCCCCUGACUUCUAAAAAUUGAAGCUUCUAUUCGUUUCUCCAUAGAUUGGAGGGCAUCAGCUUCAGACAAAGUGUCAUCAACAGUCUCAUUCACAACAGUGAAGUCAGGGUCCUCCAUACUAGAACCACUUGAGGCAAUACUAUCAUUUAAAUUCUGAGGACAAGGCACAGAUUGCUCUUUAAACGUAAUCUCGGAAUCGCUCAUGUCUGAUAUAGGGUUCACCAACUACAGAACUUCAAUGGAUCCCACUUCUGACACCAAUUGUUACGCUACCAACCCUCCGGCUGGCAACCAAUGAAUUCGCGGGCGUUCUGUAGCUGUAUGUGAAGACCCCCUGCAACACCCCAGACACGAACAGAUAACAGAGUACUUUAAUUAAGAACAACACAAACUUUAUUACCUAAAUAUAUAAAAUAAUUAAUACAAUAUUUAAUAAUUAAUAUUUAAUAAUUGAAAUGUACAUCGAAGUUGAAAAGUUAUACUUGUUUCACGUCGUAAAUUGUUAAUUGUACCGGUACUUAGUUUUUGAAGUGGUGAAUAUAUCAGGAUACUUGGUGUAUGCGAUACACGAUUCAGGACCUUCUGGAUUGGUAAUGGUUUCCCUGUAAAUAAAGAUACCAAGCCCAA